Non-coding RNA from Merluccius polli (Benguela hake), 76 nucleotides. The record is from the annotation of a GenBank genome assembly. Lineage: Eukaryota; Metazoa; Chordata; Actinopteri; Gadiformes; Merlucciidae.
GCCCUGUCUGUAGCUCAACUGGUAGAGCAUGGCUUGAACACUGGCAGGGUUCGGGGUUCGAUUCCCACCGGGGGCA